RNAcentral lists this ribosomal RNA (253 nucleotides) under uncultured bacterium. Its description in RNAcentral is "partial 16S ribosomal RNA". It matches the Rfam family "Bacterial small subunit ribosomal RNA", at positions 524 to 776 of the family's 1533-position model. The record is from RNAcentral.
GACGGAGGAUGCAAGCGUUAUCCGGAAUUAUUGGGCGUAAAGCGUCCGCAGGUGGCUGUUCAAGUCUGCUGUCAAAGCGCAGAGCUUAACUCUGUACAGGCGGUGGAAACUGAAUAGCUAGAGUAUGGUAGGGGUAGAGGGAAUUCCCGGUGUAGCGGUGAAAUGCGUAGAUAUCGGGAAGAACACCAGUGGCGAAAGCGCUCUACUGGGCCAAAACUGACACUGAGGGACGAAAGCUAGGGGAGCGAAAGGG